RNAcentral lists this transfer RNA (109 nucleotides) under Talaromyces rugulosus. Its description in RNAcentral is "Penicillium rugulosum tRNA". It matches the Rfam family "tRNA". Rfam says of the family: Transfer RNA (tRNA) molecules are approximately 80 nucleotides in length. Their secondary structure includes four short double-helical elements and three loops (D, anti-codon, and T loops). The record is from Rfam by way of RNAcentral. Lineage: Eukaryota; Fungi; Ascomycota; Eurotiomycetes; Eurotiales; Trichocomaceae.
GUCUCCAUAGUUUAGAGGUUUAUAACAUCUGACUGUUAAAACGCUAACUCCUCCGGGAAAUGGCAAGGCAACUAUCAGAAGGUCGGCAGUUCGAUCCUGCCUGGGGACG